UACGUUGUGGAUGUCUAGGGGUUCCAG
Molecule: small RNA, 27 nt
Filed under: Bombyx mori (domestic silkworm)
Lineage: Eukaryota; Metazoa; Arthropoda; Insecta; Lepidoptera; Bombycidae
Description: ovarian small RNA-21210
Source: RNAcentral